This 166-nucleotide non-coding RNA is filed under the name Thalassiosira minuscula. The record is from RNAcentral. Lineage: Eukaryota; Bacillariophyta; Thalassiosirophyceae; Thalassiosirales; Thalassiosiraceae.
UGUCGCUAAGCGAGCACCGACAGGUUGUCUCAUCGUGAUGCGGAGUCACAGGUUCAAACCCCGACGGAAGUCAGAGUUUGGCCUGAGUUAAAUCAAGGAUUGUUAGGAAGGCAGGCAACUGAGCACCCGCACCUUGAGCUCUGAAUGGACAUGAGAUUGCAGCCUU